RNAcentral lists this ribosomal RNA (348 nucleotides) under uncultured bacterium. Its description in RNAcentral is "partial 16S ribosomal RNA". It matches the Rfam family "Bacterial small subunit ribosomal RNA", at positions 338 to 683 of the family's 1533-position model. The record is from RNAcentral.
CCUACGGGCGGCAGCAGUGAGGAAUAUUGGUCAAUGGGCGUGAGCCUGAACCAGCCAAGUAGCGUGAAGGAUGACUGAUCUACGGUUUGUAAACUUCUUUUAUAGAGGAAUAAAGGUAGCCACGUGUGGAUUUUUGUAUGUACUCUAUGAAUAAGCAUCGGCUAACUCCGUGCCAGCAGCCGCGGUAAUACGGAGGAUCCGAGCGUUAUCCGGAUUUAUUGGGUUUAAAGGGAGCGUAGAUGGUUUGUUAAGUCAGUUGUGAAAGUUUGCGGCUCAACCGUAAAAUUGUACUUGAAACUGGCAGUAGAGAGGACAGUUGAGGUAGUAGGAGGUAGGGGUGGAGCAGUG